This 460-nucleotide ribosomal RNA is filed under the name uncultured bacterium. Its description in RNAcentral is "partial 16S ribosomal RNA". It matches the Rfam family "Bacterial small subunit ribosomal RNA", at positions 338 to 795 of the family's 1533-position model. The record is from RNAcentral.
CCUACGGGUGGCAGCAGUGAGGAAUAUUGGUCAAUGGGCGGAAGCCUGAACCAGCCAAGUAGCGUGCAGGAUGACGGCCCUACGGGUUGUAAACUGCUUUUAUACGGGAAUAACGCGCCUUACGUGUAGGGAUUUGCAUGUACCGUAUGAAGAAGGACCGGCUAAUUCCGUGCCAGCAGCCGCGGUAAUACGGAAGGUCCGGGCGUUAGCCGGAUUUAUUGGGGUUAAAGGGAGCGUAGGCCGUGUGUCAAGCGUGCUGUGAAAUUUCCGGGCUCAACCCGGGCCUUGCAGCGCGAACUGGCGUGCUUGAGUCCGCGGAAAGCAGGCGGAAUUCGUCGUGUAGCGGUGAAAUGCUUAGAUAUGACGAAGAACCCCGAUUGCGAAGGCAGCUUGCUGCAGCGGAACUGACGCUGAUGCUCGAAAGCGCGGGUAUCGAACAGGAUUAGAUACCCCUGUAGUC